AGCAGCCGCGGUAAUUCCAGCUCCAAUAGCGUAUAUUAAAGUUGUUGCAGUUAAAAAGCUCGUAGUUGAAUUUCGGGAUUGGCGCAUCGGUCGUGCCUCACGGGGUAUGAACUGGUGCAGUCAAUUUCUCACCUUCUGGAGAACCGCGAUGUCCUUAAUUGGAUGCCGCGGGGAACCAGGACCUUUACUUUGAAAAAAUUAGAGUGUUUAAAGCAGGCAUUUUUGCUUGAAUACAUUAGCAUGGAAUAAUAAAAUAGGACGGCAUGGUUCUAUUUUGUUGGUUUCUAGGACCACCGUAAUGAUUAAUAGGGAUAGUUGGGGGCAUUAGUAUUCAAUUGUCAGAGGUGAAAUUCUUGGAUUUAUUGAAGACUAACUACUGCGAAAGCAUUUGCCAAGGAUGUUUUCACUAAUCAAGAACGAAAGUUAGGGGAUCGAAGACGAUCAGAUACCGUCGUAGUCUUAACCAUAAACUAUGCCGACUAGGAAUCAGACGAUGUUAAUUUUUAAUGACUCGUUUGGC
Molecule: ribosomal RNA, 520 nt
Filed under: uncultured Entrophospora
Lineage: Eukaryota; Fungi; Glomeromycota; Glomeromycetes; Entrophosporales; Entrophosporaceae
Description: SSU rRNA
Rfam family: Eukaryotic small subunit ribosomal RNA
Source: RNAcentral